Non-coding RNA from Pseudoalteromonas piscicida, 2884 nucleotides. Lineage: Bacteria; Pseudomonadati; Pseudomonadota; Gammaproteobacteria; Alteromonadales; Pseudoalteromonadaceae. The record is from Rfam.
GGUUAAGUGACUAAGCGUACACGGUGGAUGCCUUGGCAGUUGGAGGCGAUGAAGGACGUACUAACUUGCGAUAAGCCUAGUCAAGCCAGUAAGAGGCGCUUGAGACUAGGAUUUCCGAAUGGGGAAACCCACCUGCUUGCAGGUAUCGUUAACUGAAUACAUAGGUUAACGAGGCGAACGCGGAGAACUGAAACAUCUAAGUACCCGUAGGAAAAGAAAUCAACCGAGAUUCCGAAAGUAGCGGCGAGCGAAAUCGGACCAGCCCUUAAGCUUUAGUGUAGUUAGUGGAACAUGCUGGAAAGCAUGACGAAACAGGGUGAUAGUCCCGUACACAAAAACUUAUCUAAAGUGAAAUCGAGUAGGUCGGAGCACGUGAAACUUUGACUGAAUAUGGGGGGACCAUCCUCCAAGGCUAAAUACUCCCAACUGACCGAUAGUGAACCAGUACCGUGAGGGAAAGGCGAAAAGAACCCCUGUGAGGGGAGUGAAAUAGAACCUGAAACCGUGUACGUACAAGCAGUAGGAGCCUACUUGUUGGGUGACUGCGUACCUUUUGUAUAAUGGGUCAGCGACUUAUAUUCUGUAGCGAGGUUAACCAUUUAGGGGAGCCGUAGCGAAAGCGAGUCUUAACUGGGCGCUUAAGUUGCAGGGUAUAGACCCGAAACCCGGUGAUCUAGCCAUGGGCAGGUUGAAGGUUGAGUAACAUCAACUGGAGGACCGAACCCACUAACGUUGAAAAGUUAGGGGAUGACCUGUGGCUAGGAGUGAAAGGCUAAUCAAACCGGGAGAUAGCUGGUUCUCCCCGAAAUCUAUUUAGGUAGAGCCUCGGACGAAUACUUACGGGGGUAGAGCACUGUUAAGGCUAGGGGGUCAUCCCGACUUACCAACCCUUUGCAAACUCCGAAUACCGUAAAGUAAUAUCCGGGAGACACACGGCGGGUGCUAACGUCCGUCGUGGAGAGGGAAACAACCCAGACCGUCAGCUAAGGUCCCAAAGUGUAUGUUAAGUGGGAAACGAUGUGGGAAGGCUAAAACAGCUAGGAGGUUGGCUUAGAAGCAGCCACCCUUUAAAGAAAGCGUAAUAGCUCACUAGUCGAGUCGGCCUGCGCGGAAGAUGUAACGGGGCUAAACAUACCACCGAAGCUACGGCUGCAGACUUUGUCUGCGGGGUAGGGGAGCGUUCUGUAAGUGGCUGAAGGUGUGCCGGGAGGCAUGCUGGACAUAUCAGAAGUGCGAAUGCUGACAUGAGUAACGACAAGAGGAGUGAAAAACUCCUCCGCCGGAAGACCAAGGGUUCCUAUCCCAUGUUAAUCAGGGUAGGGUGAGUCGACCCCUAAGGCGAGGCUGAAGAGCGUAGUCGAUGGGAAACGGGUUAAUAUUCCCGUACUCGGUAUGAAUGCGAUGGGGGGACGGAGCAGGCUAGGCAAGCAUGGCGUUGGUUGUCCAUGUGAAAGGCUGUAGGCUGGUGACUUAGGAAAAUCCGGGUUGCUAAGGCUGAGAGUCGAGACGAGCCACUAAGGUGGUGAAGUUGUUGAUGCCCUACUUCCAGGAAAAGCCUCUAAGCUUCAGUUCAUACUGAAUCGUACCCUAAACCGACACAGGUGGUCAGGUAGAGAAUACUAAGGCGCUUGAGAGAACUCGGGUGAAGGAACUAGGCAAAAUUGUACCGUAACUUCGGGAGAAGGUACGCUCUUGUUUGUGAAGGACUUGCUCUGUAAGCAAACGAGAGCCGCAGUGACCAGGUGGCUGGGACUGUUUAUUAAAAACACAGCACUGUGCAAAAUCGUAAGAUGACGUAUACGGUGUGACACCUGCCCGGUGCCGGAAGGUUAAUUGAUGGGGUUAGCUUAGGCGAAGCUCUUGAUCGAAGCCCCGGUAAACGGCGGCCGUAACUAUAACGGUCCUAAGGUAGCGAAAUUCCUUGUCGGGUAAGUUCCGACCUGCACGAAUGGUGUAACCAUGGCCACGCUGUCUCCACCCGAGACUCAGUGAAAUUGAAAUCGCAGUGAAGAUGCUGUGUACCCGCGGCUAGACGGAAAGACCCCGUGAACCUUUACUACAGCUUGGCACUGAACAUUGACCCUACAUGUGUAGGAUAGGUGGGAGGCUUUGAAGCAGAGACGCUAGUUUCUGUGGAGCCGACCUUGAAAUACCACCCUUGUAGUGUUGAUGUUCUAACUUAGGCCCCUGAAUCGGGGUUGAGGACAGUGCCUGGUGGGUAGUUUGACUGGGGCGGUCUCCUCCCAAAGAGUAACGGAGGAGCACGAAGGUUUGCUAAGUACGGUCGGACAUCGUACGGUUAGUGUAAUGGUAGAAGCAAGCUUAACUGCGAGACAGACACGUCGAGCAGGUACGAAAGUAGGUCAUAGUGAUCCGGUGGUUCUGAAUGGAAGGGCCAUCGCUCAACGGAUAAAAGGUACUCCGGGGAUAACAGGCUGAUACCGCCCAAGAGUUCAUAUCGACGGCGGUGUUUGGCACCUCGAUGUCGGCUCAUCACAUCCUGGGGCUGAAGUCGGUCCCAAGGGUAUGGCUGUUCGCCAUUUAAAGUGGUACGCGAGCUGGGUUUAGAACGUCGUGAGACAGUUCGGUCCCUAUCUGCCGUGGGCGUUUGAGAAUUGAGAGGGGCUGCUCCUAGUACGAGAGGACCGGAGUGGACGAACCGCUGGUGUUCGGGUUGUGAUGCCAAUUGCAUUGCCCGGUAGCUACGUUCGGAACUGAUAACCGCUGAAAGCAUCUAAGCGGGAAGCAGGCCUCGAGAUGAGUUCUCACUUUGACUUAGAGUCAACUGAAGGGCCGUUGAAGACUACAACGUUGAUAGGCGAGAUGUGGAAGUGCUGUGAGGCAUUAAGCUAACUCGUACUAAUUACCCGUGAGGCUUAACCAU